Molecule: ribosomal RNA, 254 nt
Filed under: uncultured bacterium
Lineage: Bacteria
Description: partial 16S ribosomal RNA
Rfam family: Bacterial small subunit ribosomal RNA
Source: RNAcentral
UGCGUAGGGUGCAAGCGUUGUCCGGAAUUAUUGGGCGUAAAGAGCUCGUAGGCGGUUUGUUGCGUCGGCUGUGAAAUCCCGAGGCUCAACCUCGGGUCUGCAGUCGAUACGAGCAAACUAGAGUGUUGCAGGGGAGACUGGAAUUCCUGGUGUAGCGGUGAAAUGCGCAGAUAUCAGGAGGAACACCGGUGGCGAAGGCGGGUCUCUGGGCAACAACUGACGCUGGAGGAGCGAAAGCGUGGGGAGCGAACAGG